GCGGGGCGUGGUAGCACACACACAUUCAACCCCCGAGGCUGGGAAGCAAAAGCAGGCAGAUCUCUGUGAAGCUGAAGCCAGUGUGGUUACAUAAGGAGUUCCAUGCCAUCCAGGGCAAGGUCAGAAGAAGUGUUGGAGCCCCUGGAACUAGAGCUACUGAUGCUUUUGAGCCACCAUGUGGAUGCUGGGAACCAAACUCCCGACCUCUUCAAGAGGAAGGGUGCCUCGCUUACUGGCUAUUGCUCUGCUAACACCCUGAUCAAAACCAGUUUGGGGAGGAUAGCUUAUGUGUCCUGAUCACAGUCCAUCACAGAGGGAAGUCAAGGGAUGAAAUGUGCUCUCUGCUUCGUGACUGUCAGGGCUGCCUCCUGCUCCAGCUACCAUGAAGGAUGCUAUCCCUCCAGAACUAAGGAAGAUGUCAGUUAUUCAUAACAGGAGUGGUGGUGCUGUAACAGAACCAAGACCCGAAAGAAGUACUUGUGACUCUCGAGCACAAGCUCUUUCCCACAUGGAAACAUCGCCACCGCACUCAUGCUUCCGCGGAAACAGCCGGAAAACAUCGUGAGCCUGUGGGGAGCAUAACCCUUCAGGGCCAGACAUCAAAUCUGCACAAAUAAUGUCUUUGAGGAAAUCCUUCUGAAAAACAAAGACUUUUUUUUUUUUUUUGGUUUCAUGUAUUUAAUCUACUUAAUAUGACCUUUCAAGUCUUCAUGAAUUUUUCUCAUGGUAGCAAACAUCAAAAGUCAGAAGUCUGCAAAUGUCACGAUUUCCUUGUUUUUAAAUGCUGAGUAGUAUCCCAUUGUGUAGAUGUACCACAAUCUCUGUAUCCACUCCUCAACUGAGGGGCAUC
Long non-coding RNA from Meriones unguiculatus (Mongolian gerbil), 850 nucleotides. RefSeq lists it as uncharacterized. Lineage: Eukaryota; Metazoa; Chordata; Mammalia; Rodentia; Muridae. The transcript has 5 exons. The record is from RefSeq and is a predicted model, not a curated record.